Molecule: long non-coding RNA, 504 nt
Filed under: Elaeis guineensis (African oil palm)
Lineage: Eukaryota; Viridiplantae; Streptophyta; Magnoliopsida; Arecales; Arecaceae
Description: long non-coding RNA (EGUI_LNC024804)
Source: RNAcentral
CCUGUUGUGGGUGGGCAUCGGGGGCUUCGAGCCCGAAAGUCCCAUACCGGAAGUUUAUAAAAGAGGCUACUGCUUAAGUAUUGCCAGCCUCCCUCUCCCACGUGAGGCGCCUUUUGCGGGGCAAAACCGUGAGGGGCGGGGUGUUAACCGGAUCAAAGGCCUGGGCCCCGUUCCAGAGCGGACAAUACCUCACGAUUGGUGAGGGGCGAUGGGUUGGUACGACUUGGGUAGUAGUGCUCUACCAGUGGCGCCGUCUGUGGGAUCCCGUCCCCUAUCCGCGCAGUAGCCUCCUUUGCAGGGGGGCUUCUGUUGUGGGCGGGCAUCGGGGGCUUCGAGCCCGAAAGUCCCAUACCGGAAGUUUACAAAAGAGACUACUGCUUAAGUAUUGCCAGCCUCCUUCUCCCACGUGAGGCGCCUUUUGCGGGGCAAAACCGUGAGGGGCGGGGUGUUUACCGGGUCAAAGGCCCGGGCCCCGCUCCAGAGCGGACAAUACCUCACGAUUGG